RNAcentral lists this ribosomal RNA (460 nucleotides) under uncultured bacterium. RNAcentral describes it as "partial 16S ribosomal RNA". It matches the Rfam family "Bacterial small subunit ribosomal RNA", at positions 338 to 795 of the family's 1533-position model. The record is from RNAcentral.
CCUACGGGAGGCAGCAGUGAGGAGUAUUGGUCAAUGGACGAGAGUCUGAACCAGCCAAGUAGCGUGAAGGAUGACUGCCCUAUGGGUUGUAAACUUCUUUUAUAAAGGAAUAAAAUGAGGCACGUGUGCUUUUUUGUAUGUACUUUAUGAAUAAGGAUCGGCUAACUCCGUGCCAGCAGCCGCGGUAAUACGGAGGAUCCGAGCGUUAUCCGGAUUUAUUGGGUUUAAAGGGAGCGUAGGUGGGUUGUUAAGUCAGUUGUGAAAGUUUGCGGAUCAACCGUAAAAUUGCAAUUGAUACUGGCAGUCUUGAGUACAGUUGAGGUAGGCGGAAUUCGUGGUGUAGCGGUGAAAUGCUUAGAUAUCACGAAGAACCCCGAUUGCGAAGGCAGCUUACUAAACUGUGACUGACAUUGAUGCUCGAAGGUGUGGGUAUCAAACAGGAUUAGAUACCCGGGUAGUC